Molecule: non-coding RNA, 70 nt
Organism: Schistosoma mansoni
Lineage: Eukaryota; Metazoa; Platyhelminthes; Trematoda; Strigeidida; Schistosomatidae
Source: Rfam
ACGGAAACUCCGCCUGUGGGUCUUCUUGAGUUACUGCUGGUCUCAAGCCCAGGUAAAGGAGGAGGGUUGG